GACAGGCGUAGUCGAUGGACAACGGGUUGAUAUUCCCGUACCGGCGAAACAACGUCCGUGCUGGGGCACGCGAUGCUAAGCAUGCGAGACUGUCUGCUGCCUUUCGGGGUGGUGGGUGGUUGAGUCUGUGAUCCGAGUGUGUAGUAGGCAAGCCGCGGAGGGACGCAGGAAGGUAGCUCAUCCUCAGCGUUGGUUGUCUGAGGCUAAGUGUGUAGGGUGGGGUGUAGGUAAAUCCGCAUUCCGUGAUGCCUGAGACACGAUGGGCCUGCACCAUUUUGGGUGUGGGUUGAGUGAUCCUAUGCUGCCUAGAAAAGCUUCGUUGGCGAGUUGUUAGCCGCCCGUACCCCAAACCGACACAGGUGGAUAGGUAGAGAAUACCGAGGCGAUCGGGAUAAUCGUGGUGAAGGAACUCGGCAAAAUACCCCCGUAACUUCGGGAUAAGGGGGACCUGAUACGUGACCAGCCUUGCGUUGUGAGCGUUGAGGGUCGCAGAGACCAGGCCCAAGCGACUGUUUACUAAAAACACAGGUCCGUGCCAACUCGUAAGAGGAUGUAUACGGACUGACUCCUGCCCGGUGCUGGAAGGUUAAGGGGAACUGUCAGCCGCAUUUUGUGUGGUGAAGCGGUGAACUUAAGCCCCAGUAAACGGCGGUGGUAACUAUAACCAUCCUAAGGUAGCGAAAUUCCUUGUCGGGUAAGUUCCGACCUGCACGAAUGGAGUAACGAUUUGGGCGCUGUCUCCACCACGAACCCGGUGAAAUUGCAUUACGAGUAAAGAUGCUCGUUACGCGCAGCAGGACGGAAAGACCCCGGGACCUUUACUACAGUUUGGUAUUGGUGAUCGGUGUGACUUGUGUAGGAUAGGUGGGAGACUUUGAAACCGGGACGCCAGUUCCGGUGGAGUCAUCGUUGAAAUACCACUCUGGUCAUUCUGGUUAUCUAACCUAGGACCGUUAUCCGGUUCAGGGACAGUGCCUGAUGGGUAGUUUGACUGGGGCGGUCGCCUCCUAAAAGGUAACGGAGGCGCCCAAAGGUUCCCUCAGCCUGGUUGGCAAUCAGGUGUUGAGUGUAAGUGCACAAGGGAGCUUGACUGUGAGACUGACGGGUCGAGCAGGGACGAAAGUCGGGACUAGUGAUCUUCUGGUAGCGAAUGGAAGCGCCAGGACUCAACGGAUAAAAGGUACCCCGGGGAUAACAGGCUGAUCUUGCCCGAGCGUCCAUAGCGACGGCAUGGUUUGGCACCUCGAUGUCGGCUCGUCGCAUCCUGGGGCUGGAGUCGGUCCCAAGGGUUGGGCUGUUCGCCCAUUAAAGCGGCACGCGAGCUGGGUUUAGAACGUCGUGAGACAGUUCGGUCCCUAUCCGCUGCGCGCGUAGGAGUCUUGAGAAGGGCUGUCCUUAGUACGAGAGGACCGGGACGGACCAACCUCUGGUGUGCCAGUUGUUCCGCCAGGAGCACGGCUGGUUGGCUACGUUGGGAAGUGAUAACCGCUGAAAGCAUCUAAGCGGGAAGCACGCUUCAAGAUGAGGGCUCCCACAGAAACAAUCUGGUAAGGCCCCCCACAGACCAUGGGGUCGAUAGGUCGGACGUGGAAGCGUAGUAAUACGUGAAGCUGACCGAUACUAAUAGGCCGAGGGCUUACCAC
Molecule: ribosomal RNA, 1643 nt
Filed under: human oral metagenome
Description: bacterial LSU rRNA
Rfam family: Bacterial large subunit ribosomal RNA
Source: RNAcentral